RNAcentral lists this ribosomal RNA (520 nucleotides) under Latistria placitus. RNAcentral's name for it is "eukaryotic LSU rRNA". It matches the Rfam family "Eukaryotic large subunit ribosomal RNA", at positions 1363 to 1840 of the family's 3401-position model. Lineage: Eukaryota; Metazoa; Arthropoda; Insecta; Hemiptera; Delphacidae. The record is from RNAcentral.
GUCGUUAUGCCUUGACGAGUAAGAGGGUCACGACGGUGAGCGCAGAAGGGUCAGGGCGAGAGCCUGCCUGGAGCUGCCGUUGGUGCAGAUCUUGGUGGUAGUAGCAAAUACUCUAGCGAGGGCCUGGAGGACUGACGUGGAGAAGGGUUUCUUGUGAACAGCCGUUGCACAAGAGUCAGUCGACCCUAAGCCCUAGGAGAAAUCCGAUGAUGAUGGGUUGCUUUGAUAGCUCCUAUCGGGCGAAAGGGAAUCCGGUCCCUAUUCCGGAACCUGGCUGCGUAACCGCAACUCUGCGAGCACUUGCUUGCGAGCGCUCGACGGGGUAACCCAAACUGGCCUGGAGACGCCGGCGGGGGGUCUGGAAAGAGUUUUCUUUUCUUUAUAAGCGUUCGAGUACCCUGGAAUCCUAUAGCAGGGAGAUAGGGUUUGGAAUGCGAAGAGCACCGCAGUUGCAGCGGUGUCCGGACUUCUCCCCCGGACCUUGAAAAUCCAGGUGAGGGCUACGCGGAAAUCGCGCCAG